GACAGAGGGUGCAAACGUUGCUCGGAAUUACUGGGCGUAAAGCGCGUGUAGGCGGUGCCGCACGUCGGGUGUGAAAGCCCGGGGCUCAACCCCGGACGUGCACUCGAUACGACGGUGCUGGAGUCUUGAAGAGGAGAGCGGAAUUCCCGGUGUAGAGGUGAAAUUCGUAGAUAUCGGGAGGAACACCAGUGGCGAAGGCGGCUCUCUGGCCAAGUACUGACGCUGAGACGCGAAAGCGUGGGUAGCAAACAGG
This 253-nucleotide ribosomal RNA is filed under the name uncultured bacterium. RNAcentral's name for it is "partial 16S ribosomal RNA". It matches the Rfam family "Bacterial small subunit ribosomal RNA", at positions 524 to 776 of the family's 1533-position model. The record is from RNAcentral.